RNAcentral lists this ribosomal RNA (540 nucleotides) under uncultured bacterium. RNAcentral's name for it is "partial 16S ribosomal RNA". It matches the Rfam family "Bacterial small subunit ribosomal RNA", at positions 355 to 888 of the family's 1533-position model. The record is from RNAcentral.
UGGGGAAUUUUGGACAAUGGGCGAAAGCCUGAUCCAGCAAUGCCGCGUGUGUGAAGAAGGCCUUCGGGUUGUAAAGCACUUUUGUCCGGAAAGAAAUGGCUCUGGUUAAUACCUGGGGUCGAUGACGGUACCGGAAGAAUAAGGACCGGCUAACUACGUGCCAGCAGCCGCGGUAAUACGUAGGGUCCAAGCGUUAAUCGGAAUUACUGGGCGUAAAGCGUGCGCAGGCGGUUGUGCAAGACCGAUGUGAAAUCCCCGAGCUUAACUUGGGAAUUGCAUUGGUGACUGCACGGCUAGAGUGUGUCAGAGGGGGGUAGAAUUCCACGUGUAGCAGUGAAAUGCGUAGAGAUGUGGAGGAAUACCGAUGGCGAAGGCAGCCCCCUGGGAUAACACUGGCGCUCAUGCACGAAAGCGUGGGGAGCAAACAGGAUUAGAUACCCUGGUAGUCCACGCCCUAAACGAUGUCAACUAGUUGUUGGGGAUUCAUUUCCUUAGUAACGUAGCUAACGCGUGAAGUUGACCGCCUGGGGAGUACGGUCG